Molecule: long non-coding RNA, 1032 nt
Organism: Octopus sinensis (East Asian common octopus)
Lineage: Eukaryota; Metazoa; Mollusca; Cephalopoda; Octopoda; Octopodidae
Exons: 3
Source: RefSeq, a predicted model, not a curated record
AAAUCCUGGGGUCGAUUUUCUCGACUAAAGGCGAUGCUCCAGCAUGGCCACAGUCAAAUGACUGAAACAAGUAAAAGAGUAUGUGUAAUGUGUUUAUGUUUGUGUGAGUGAUUUUGUACUUCUUGACUUCCAUGUGUUCAGUGACUGUAAACAAAGCAACAUCCUCGCAAUCAUAUGUAUGUAGUGUCAAGCUCGAAGUCAACCACGAAAACAUGCCUGAGCUCCUGGACAUAUCUUAACAUGUUGAGAAAUCUUCGUAAAUAGAAGAAGACACCUAUAACUAUGUUUGGGCCGUUUGUUAUUAGAUGGACAAAGUGGAUUAUUACCUUAUUUGGGGACAGGUGAGGGAUGACGACAUGAAUAGGAUCCUACUUCAGAAAAUCGGCCUCAAUAAAUUCAGUCUGACCCAUGCAAGCAUGGAAAUGUGGAUGACAAAAUGAUGAAGAUGAUGAUAACUGGACUGCUCCGCCCUAUCACUUUUUUUUUAUACCAUAUUCACAUAAAUGCCUCCAAUGCUCCAAGAUAAUUCAAAGGCAUUCCUUAGAUCUAAUAAUUUUGGUAUAAAUAGACACAAAGUAAACCAGAUACUUAUGUGAAUAUGAUAAAACUGCCCCCCAUCCCUUUUUUUUUUUUUACCAUAUUCACAUAAAUGCCUCCAAUGCUCCAAGAACAUUCAAAGGCAUUCUUUAGAUGUAAUAAUUUUAGUAUAAAUAGACACAAAGUAAACCAGAUAGAGAUGUAGCUAUAUAACAGGAUGAACUACUCUGGUUAGUUAAGUUAGUGUAAACAUUAUUUAAAUGUCGGAACCAUUGAAAAAUCAGAGAAUAUAAAAUAGUGGGUGGAGGUUAAUAUUAGUAAUAGUUUAGUCAGCUUACUAUGAAAUCAAAUUACUGCCUCAUUAAUAUACAAAUGUAACGACUAACAAUUACUCCAAGCCAUUGCAUAGUUAUCUCAACAGUAGCUGUUGGUGAAGACUUUACACAAACAUAGGUGCAGAGUGGCUGUGUGGUAAGUACCUUGCUUACCAACAAC